UACGUAGGGUGCGAGCGUUAAUCGGAAUUACUGGGCGUAAAGCGUGCGCAGGCGGUUUUGUAAGCCAGAUGUGAAAUCCCCGGGCUCAACCUGGGAAUGGCAUUUGGGACUGCAAGGCUGGAGUACGGCAGAGGAGACUGGAAUUCCUGGUGUAGCAGUGAAAUGCGUAGAUAUCAGGAGGAAUACCGAUGGCGAAGGCAGGUCUCUGGGCUGAUACUGACGCUCACGCACGAAAGCGUGGGGAGCAAACAGG
This 253-nucleotide ribosomal RNA is filed under the name uncultured bacterium. RNAcentral describes it as "partial 16S ribosomal RNA". It matches the Rfam family "Bacterial small subunit ribosomal RNA", at positions 524 to 776 of the family's 1533-position model. The record is from RNAcentral.